This 253-nucleotide ribosomal RNA is filed under the name uncultured bacterium. Its description in RNAcentral is "partial 16S ribosomal RNA". It matches the Rfam family "Bacterial small subunit ribosomal RNA", at positions 524 to 776 of the family's 1533-position model. The record is from RNAcentral.
UACGUAGGGUGCAAGCGUUGUCCGGAAUUAUUGGGCGUAAAGAGCUCGUAGGCGGUCUGUCGCGUCUGCUGUGAAAACUCGGGGCUUAACCCCGGGCCUGCAGUGGGUACGGGCAGACUAGAGUGCGGUAGGGGAGACUGGAAUUCCUGGUGUAGCGGUGAAAUGCGCAGAUAUCAGGAGGAACACCGGUGGCGAAGGCGGGUCUCUGGGACGUGACUGACGCUGAGACGCGAAAGCGUGGGGAGCAAACAGG